UGCUCCUGGAUUAGUGGCGAACGGGUGAGUAACACGUGAGUAACCUGCCCUUGACUCUGGGAUAAGCCUGGGAAACUGGGUCUAAUACCGGAUAUGACCUUCCAUCGCAUGGUGGUUGGUGGAAAGCUUUUGUGGUUUUGGAUGGACUCGCGGCCUAUCAGCUUGUUGGUGGGGUAAUGGCCUACCAAGGCGACGACGGGUAGCCGGCCUGAGAGGGUGACCGGCCACACUGGGACUGAGACACGGCCCAGACUCCUACGGGAGGCAGCAGUGGGGAAUAUUGCACAAUGGGCGCAAGCCUGAUGCAGCGACGCCGCGUGAGGGAUGACGGCCUUCGGGUUGUAAACCUCUUUCAGUAGGGAAGAAGCCGCAAGGUGACGGUACCUGCAGAAGAAGCGCCGGCUAACUACGUGCCAGCAGCCGCGGUAAUACGUAGGGCGCAAGCGUUAUCCGGAAUUAUUGGGCGUAAAGAGCUCGUAGGCGGUUUGUCGCGUCUGCCGUGAAAGUCCGGGGCUCAACUCCGGAUCUGCGGUGGGUACGGGCAGACUAGAGUGAUGUAGGGGAGACUGGAAUUCCUGGUGUAGCGGUGAAAUGCGCAGAUAUCAGGAGGAACACCGAUGGCGAAGGCAGGUCUCUGGGCAUUAACUGACGCUGAGGAGCGAAAGCAUGGGGAGCGAACAGGAUUAGAUACCCUGGUAGUCCAUGCCGUAAACGUUGGGCACUAGGUGUGGGGGACAUUCCACGUUUUCCGCGCCGUAGCUAACGCAUUAAGUGCCCCGCCUGGGGAGUACGGCCGCAAGGCUAAAACUCAAAGGAAUUGACGGGGGCCCGCACAAGCGGCGGAGCAUGCGGAUUAAUUCGAUGCAACGCGAAGAACCUUACCAAGGCUUGACAUGAACCAGACCGGGCUGGAAACAGUCCUUCCCCUUUGGGGUUGGUUUACAGGUGGUGCAUGGUUGUCGUCAGCUCGUGUCGUGAGAUGUUGGGUUAAGUCCCGCAACGAGCGCAACCCUCGUUCCAUGUUGCCAGCGGGUAGUGCCGGGGACUCAUGGGAGACUGCCGGGGUCAACUCGGAGGAAGGUGGGGACGACGUCAAAUCAUCAUGCCCCUUAUGUCUUGGGCUUCACGCAUGCUACAAUGGCCGGUACAAAGGGUUGCGAUACUGUGAGGUGGAGCUAAUCCCAAAAAGCCGGUCUCAGUUCGGAUUGGGGUCUGCAACUCGACCCCAUGAAGUCGGAGUCGCUAGUAAUCGCAGAUCAGCAACGCUGCGGUGAAUACGUUCCCGGGCCUUGUACACACCGCCCGUCAAGUCACGAAAGUUGGUAACACCCG
RNAcentral lists this ribosomal RNA (1332 nucleotides) under Arthrobacter sp. 146 ZZ-2014. Its description in RNAcentral is "bacterial SSU rRNA". It matches the Rfam family "Bacterial small subunit ribosomal RNA", at positions 82 to 1423 of the family's 1533-position model. Lineage: Bacteria; Bacillati; Actinomycetota; Actinomycetes; Micrococcales; Micrococcaceae. The record is from RNAcentral.